Molecule: ribosomal RNA, 679 nt
Filed under: uncultured Bacilli bacterium
Lineage: Bacteria; Bacillati; Bacillota; Bacilli
Description: bacterial SSU rRNA
Rfam family: Bacterial small subunit ribosomal RNA
Source: RNAcentral
AUUGAAAGGUGCUUGCAUCUUGAUUUAAUUUUGAACGAGUGGCGGACGGGUGAGUAACACGUGGGUAACCUGCCCUUAAGUGGGGGAUAACAUUUGGAAACAGAUGCUAAUACCGCAUAAAUCCAAGAACCGCAUGGUUCUUGGCUGAAAGAUGGCGUAAGCUAUCGCUUUUGGAUGGACCCGCGGCGUAUUAGCUAGUUGGUGAGGUAACGGCUCACCAAGGCAAUGAUACGUAGCCGAACUGAGAGGUUGAUCGGCCACAUUGGGACUGAGACACGGCCCAAACUCCUACGGGAGGCAGCAGUAGGGAAUCUUCCACAAUGGACGCAAGUCUGAUGGAGCAACGCCGCGUGAGUGAAGAAGGCUUUCGGGUCGUAAAACUCUGUUGUUGGAGAAGAAUGGUCGGCAGAGUAACUGUUGUCGGCGUGACGGUAUCCAACCAGAAAGCCACGGCUAACUACGUGCCAGCAGCCGCGGUAAUACGUAGGUGGCAAGCGUUAUCCGGAUUUAUUGGGCGUAAAGCGAGCGCAGGCGGUUUCUUAAGUCUGAUGUGAAAGCCCCCGGCUCAACCGGGGAGGGUCAUUGGAAACUGGGAGACUUGAGUGCAGAAGAGGAGAGUGGAAUUCCAUGUGUAGCGGUGAAAUGCGUAGAUAUAUGGAGGAACACCAGUGGCGAAGGC